Picea glauca (white spruce) is the source of this 119-nucleotide non-coding RNA. The record is from Rfam. Lineage: Eukaryota; Viridiplantae; Streptophyta; Pinopsida; Pinales; Pinaceae.
GGGUGCAAUCAUACCAACGUUAAUGCAUUGAAUCCCAUCGGAACACCGUAGUUAUGCAGUCUUUAGCUAGAGUAGUACUGGGAUGGGUGACCUCCCAGGAAGUCCUAGUGUUGCACCCU